Molecule: ribosomal RNA, 243 nt
Filed under: uncultured Actinomycetales bacterium
Lineage: Bacteria; Bacillati; Actinomycetota; Actinomycetes; Actinomycetales
Description: partial 16S ribosomal RNA
Rfam family: Bacterial small subunit ribosomal RNA
Source: RNAcentral
UACUCGAGUGGCGAACGGGUGAGUAACACGUUGGUGAUCUGCCCUGCACUUCGGGAUAAGCCUGGGAAACUGGGUCUAAUACCGGAUAGGAGCCAUUUUUAGUGUGAUGGUUGGAAAGUUUUUUCGGUGUAGGAUGAGCUCGCGGCCUAUCAGCUUGUUGGUGGGGUAAUGGCCUACCAAGGCGGCGACGGGUAGCCGGCCUGAGAGGGUGGACGGCCACAUUGGGACUGAGAUACGGCCCAG